AGGGCGUACGGUGAAUGCCUUGGUGCCAACAGGCGAAGAAGGACGCGGCAAGCUGCGAAAAACCUCGGGAAGCUGCAAGCAAGCGAUGAUCCGGGGGUGUCCGAAUGGGGUAACCUGACUGGGGUAAUACCUGGUCGUUCAUACCUGAAUACAUAGGGUAUGAAACGCAAUACCCGCUGAAGUGAAACAUCUCAGUAAGCGGAGGAAAAGAAAGAGAAAUCGAUUCCGUAAGUAGUGGCGAGCGAAAGCGGAUGGAGCCCAAACCGAAGGUACUCCUUCGGGGUUGUAGGACCACGACAUAUUCGACCAUAGUGGAUAGUAGAACAGUCUGGAAAGGCUGGCCAUAGAAGGUGAAAGCCCUGUAGACGAAAUCCAGAGUGGGAAUUAGUGGUAUCCUGAGUAAUACAUCACACGUGGAACGAUGUAUGAAUCAGCGCGGACCACCGCGCAAGGCUAAAUACUAGUUGGCGACCGAUAGUGAACAAGUACCGCGAGGGAAAGGUGAAAAGAACCGCUGUGAGCGGAGUGAAAUAGAACCUGAAACCGUAUGUCUACAAAGUGUCAGAGCAGAGCAAUCUGCGAUGGCGUGCCUUUUGUUUAAUGAGUCUGCGAGUCAGUGUUUGUGGCAAGACUAAGGGCUUCCGGCCCGGAGUCGCAGCGAAAGCAAGUCCGAAUAGGGCGCAUUAAGUCGCAGGUACUGGACCCGAAGCGGAGGUGACCUACCCUUGGCCAGGUUGAAGCAUGGGUAAAACCAUGUGGAGGACCGAACAGGUGAACGUUGAAAAGUUCUCUGAUGAGCUGAGGGUAGGAGUGAAAGGCUAAUCAAACCCCGUGAUAGCUGGUUCUCUUCGAAAUGCAUUUAGGUGCAGCGUCACGUGCUGAUGCGCGGGGGUAGAGCACUGACAAGGCUAGGGGGCACACCCGCUUACCAAACCUUAUCAAACUCCGAAUACCGUGCAAUGGAACGUGGCAGUGAGACAGUGGGGGAUAAGCUUCAUUGUCGAGAGGGAAACAACCCAGACCAGCAGCUAAGGUGCCUAAAUAACGCUGAGUGGAAAGGAUGUGGGAUUACACAGACAGUGAGGAUGUUGGCUUAGAAGCAGCCACCAUUUAAAAAAUGCGUAAUAGCUUACUCAUCGAGUGAUCCUGCGCCGAAAAUGAUUGGCGAUCAAGCGUUAUACCGAAGCUCUGGACUUUGCCGCAAGGCAGAGUGGUAGAAGAGCGUUGCAUGCGCAUUGAAGGGUGAUGGCGACUGACCCUGGAGCGCAUGCAAGUGAGUAUGCAGACAUGAGUAACGUAAAGCCGGGUGAAAUCCCCGGCCGCCGUAAACCCGAGGUUUCCAGGGCAACGUGUUUCGUCCCUGGGUUAGCCGGGACCUAAGCCGAGGCCGAGAGGCGUAGGCGAUGGAUAUCAGGUUAAUAAUCCUGAGCUCGCGACCCUUAAACUGGGGGGACGCAUGAGAAGAGAUGACCAGGUUAUUGAAUUCCGAGCUGGGUCCACGGACCCAGCGCAUCAUCAAAUCGAGUGCCAAGAAAAGCCCCAGCGUAUGCUAAGCGACCCGUACCGCAAACCGACACAGGUGGGUGGGUAGAAUAUACCAAGGCGUAAGAGUGAAACCUGGUUAAGGAACUCGGCAAAUUAGCCCCGUAACUUCGGAAGAAGGGGUGCCUGCAGCGAUGCAGGCCGCAGAGAAAUGGCCCAACCGACUGUUUAUCAAAAACACAGCACUCUGCAAAGACGCAAGUCGAAGUAUAGGGUGUGACACGUGACCAAUGCCGAAAGAUUAAGGCAAGGGGUUAGCCGCAAGGCGAAGCUCUGAACCCAAGUCCCGGUGAAUGUCGGCCGUAACUAUAACGGUCCUAAGGUAGCGAAAUUCCUUGUCGGGUAAGUUCCGACCUGCACGAAUCGUGAAACGAGUUGGGCACUGUCUCAACCAGGCGCUCAGUGAAAUUGUAGUGGCGGUGAAGAUGCCGCCUACCCGCAGAAGGACGGAAAGACCCUAUAGACCUUAACUGUAAGCUGU
RNAcentral lists this ribosomal RNA (2023 nucleotides) under human gut metagenome. Its description in RNAcentral is "bacterial LSU rRNA". It matches the Rfam family "Bacterial large subunit ribosomal RNA", at positions 14 to 2114 of the family's 2925-position model. The record is from RNAcentral.